RNAcentral lists this transfer RNA (63 nucleotides) under Gnathotrichus materiarius. RNAcentral's name for it is "tRNA-Cys". Lineage: Eukaryota; Metazoa; Arthropoda; Insecta; Coleoptera; Curculionidae. The record is from RNAcentral.
GGCUGAGUAGUCAAAUAAUGAUAUUAAAUUGCAAGUUUAAAGUUAAAUUUAAUUUUUUAGCUU